Molecule: ribosomal RNA, 512 nt
Filed under: uncultured bacterium
Lineage: Bacteria
Description: bacterial SSU rRNA
Rfam family: Bacterial small subunit ribosomal RNA
Source: RNAcentral
UUGAACGCUGGCGGCGUGCCUAACACAUGCAAGUCGAGCGUGAAAGUUCCUUCGGGAGCGAGUAAAGCGGCGCACGGGUGAGUAACACGUGGAUAAUCUGCCCAUCAGUUUGGAAUAACAGUUGGAAAUGACUGCUAAUACCGGAUACGAUCCUGUUUAUCCAGGGUGAAAGGCGGCCUCUGCUUGCAAGCUGUCGCUGAUGGAUGAGUCCGCGUCUCAUUAGGUAGACGGUGGGGUAACGGCCUACCGUGCCGACGAUGAGUAGCCGGCCUGAGAGGGUAAUCGGCCACACUGGGACUGGAACACGGCCCAGACUCCUACGGGAGGCAGCAGUGGGGAAUAUUGCGCAAUGGACGAAAGUCUGACGCAGCGACGCCGCGUGAGGGAUGAAGGCCUUCGGGUCGUAAACCUCUGUCAGGAGGGAAGAACAAGCAUGGUUCUAAUCAGCCAUGCCCUGACGGUACCUCCAAAGGAAGCACCGGCUAACUCCGUGCCAGCCGCCGCCGUAAGAC